Molecule: ribosomal RNA, 407 nt
Filed under: uncultured bacterium
Lineage: Bacteria
Description: partial 16S ribosomal RNA
Rfam family: Bacterial small subunit ribosomal RNA
Source: RNAcentral
GACGAACGCUGGCGGCGUGCUUAACACAUGCAAGUCGAACGAAGUGGCGACGGGUGAGUAACGCGUAAUCAACCUGCCCUUCAGAGGGGGAAAACAGUUGGAAACGACGGCUAAUACCGCAUACGGAAGGAGGGGAUUGUGUCUGAUUGGCUAGUUGGAGGGGUGACGGCCCACCAAGGCGAUUAUCAGUAGCCUGUCUGAGGGGGUGAACGGCCACAUUGGGCCUGAGUCCCGGCCCCGACUCCUACGGGAGGCAGCAGUGGGGAAUUUUCCGCAAUGGACGGAAGUCUUACGGCGCAACGCCGCGUGAGUGAUGACGGCCUUCGGGUUGUAAAGCUCUGUUAAUCGGGACGCGGUACCGGAAUAGAAAGCCACGGCUAACUACGUGCCAGCAGCCGCGGUAAUAC